GUGAAUCAUCAAAUUUUUGAACGCAAAUUGCGCUUCCUAGCAUCCCGGGAAGUAUGCCUGUUUGAGUGUCAGUAUUAACAAAAAAAUCGGUUUGGUUGUAAAUUGUUGCGUUUGCGGAGGUUGUUCGUAUCUUAACUUUUUUGGUUAAGGGGCUUAAAAUUGACCUUUUUUGCGCAUUUUUUUAUGUAUAUAUAUUUUUUGUUUUUCGUCUAUUCUUAAUGCCAAAAUCUUAUUAGAUGCGAUCACAUCGUGUUGCUUCGUGUCCAUAAAAUUUUCAUUAUUUGACCUCAAAUUA
Molecule: unclassified non-coding RNA, 295 nt
Filed under: Glomeromycetes sp.
Lineage: Eukaryota; Fungi; Glomeromycota; Glomeromycetes
Description: partial contains 5.8S ribosomal RNA and internal transcribed spacer 2
Rfam family: 5.8S ribosomal RNA (bases 1-71)
Source: RNAcentral